Podarcis muralis (Common wall lizard) is the source of this 312-nucleotide long non-coding RNA. RefSeq lists it as uncharacterized. The record is from RefSeq and is a predicted model, not a curated record. NCBI's taxonomy places the organism in Eukaryota, Metazoa, Chordata, Lepidosauria, Squamata, Lacertidae.
UAGGUCACCCGGUUCCCUCUCACCUACUUUCAGAUUAUCCGGUCUCUUAGACAUUGAUCCUGGAGACAAUGAAAAAUACUGGCAGGCGAGCCAAAUCAACAGCGAUGUUAAUGAAGUUAUGAAUGAUUAACAAGGAUGCCAGUCACAAGGAACCAAUCCCACCAUGGAUUAAUCUACACCGGAUUUCAAAAAUGGAACCGCAUCAAUAUGUAGGCUAUAUAUUAAUGGUGUGUUACUCAGCUCGGCUAACUGAGUGAUUGAAGUUCUGUAUGCACUAAAGAUGUAUCAUUAAAAUAAAGAUAGUUAAUAAUU